Molecule: non-coding RNA, 75 nt
Organism: Glossina austeni
Lineage: Eukaryota; Metazoa; Arthropoda; Insecta; Diptera; Glossinidae
Source: Rfam
GCGCCCGUAGCUCAAAUAGGAUAGAGCGUUGCUUUCCGAAGGCAAAGGUUUCAGGUUCAAAUCCUGUCGGGCGUU